This 425-nucleotide ribosomal RNA is filed under the name uncultured bacterium. RNAcentral's name for it is "partial 16S ribosomal RNA". It matches the Rfam family "Bacterial small subunit ribosomal RNA", at positions 354 to 796 of the family's 1533-position model. The record is from RNAcentral.
GUAGGGAAUCUUGCGCAAUGGGCGAAAGCCUGACGCAGCCAUGCCGCGUGAAUGAUGAAGGUCUUAGGAUUGUAAAAUUCUUUCACCGGGGACGAUAAUGACGGUACCCGGAGAAGAAGCCCCGGCUAACUUCGUGCCAGCAGCCGCGGUAAUACGAAGGGGGCUAGCGUUGCUCGGAAUUACUGGGCGUAAAGGGAGCGUAGGCGGAUAGUUUAGUCAGAGGUGAAAGCCCAGGGCUCAACCUUGGAAUUGCCUUUGAUACUGGCUGUCUUGAGUUUGGGAGAGGUGAGUGGAACUCCGAGUGUAGAGGUGAAAUUCGUAGAUAUUCGGAAGAACACCAGUGGCGAAGGCGACUCACUGGCCCAAUACUGACGCUGAGGCGCGAAAGCGUGGGGAGCAAACAGGAUUAGAUACCCUUGUAGUCC